Molecule: long non-coding RNA, 1192 nt
Organism: Vicia villosa (hairy vetch)
Lineage: Eukaryota; Viridiplantae; Streptophyta; Magnoliopsida; Fabales; Fabaceae
Exons: 3
Source: RefSeq, a predicted model, not a curated record
UCAGAGCCUUUUCUUCUCUUGCACGACGAACUCAGUGCGGCGGUGCGGCGAUUGCCCCGGUGAACUUAUUCCCUUCCGUCGAUGCCACGACGGUGAAGGCCUCCAUCUCAGUUUUUUGAUUCAAGCUUCCACGGUCUCCACUCUCAAAUAUCUCCUUACCUCUCACCGCCGUGAACCUUUUCGUCCCUCAAUCAGACACUCCAUCUCGUAUCCGUUAAACUUCUCCUCCGACAAGCAAGAGGCUCGAUGAAGAUAGCGAGAAAUCCAGAGUUGCAUGUUGAUGCAGGUGAAGAUGAAAUCGUUGCGUUGAAUUGCUACUGAUGGCGACGAAGGAUAUUGAUGCGUGGAAUCGUUGUGCGAUGAUGAGGGGUGAUGAUGAACGCGAUGCAAUGGAGAUUAUGCGGGGGACUUCUUGAAGAUGAAGAAUCAAGAUACAUUUAUGAAGAAUCUGUGAAGCUUUUUCUGAAUUAAGGUUCGGUGAAUUGGUUCAGAAAAUUGAAGGUCUUCAAGAAGAUGAUGAGGUUAUGGCGGUUAUGAAGAUUGCGGUCUUCUAGAGACUUGCAUGAUGAAGGUUCAAUGAAGACUCCAGAAUUUUGUUACGGUUAGUUUGGAAUUCUGCUCGCUAUCUCCAUUUUCCGGAUUUCUGUUUUCCAUCUCUUUUUCUUCUUUCUGUUAGAAACCAUUCCGCGCUGGAAAUGGUUGGAUGCUUGGUUGAAUUUGAGAGGAGGUGAAGAAGAUUGGAGAAAAGGAUUCAAGAUUCGUGUGAUCUUUGCAGAGAGGUCGAAGAUUCGUGACUGAAGAGGAGAAGUAUAGAUGGAGAUUGGAGAUGAUGAUAGAUGAAGGUGAAUGGUGAGAAGAAUCCAGAUUCCGAGAUGUUGAAGAAUGAUAAGAGUUAUGGCGGUGAUGAGUGAAGAAGUGGAGAAGUUAGUUACGUUCUGUUUCGGUUAUCAGUGAGUUCUUUCUUCUUAAUUCCCUUGUGCAUUUCUCUUGCAAUUUUCUGUUAUGUAUUUCUGGUUGCCCCUUUUUUUUCUGAUAUUUUUUCCUUUUGUCUAUUUUUCUGUGAACCUGUGAACCGGUUCCUUAUUGUGCACUUGCAUGCCUGGUUUUGGAUUAUCUUGAAGCAGCUUGAAACAUAGAAAAAUUAGGAUGGACUUUUUCUUUUGUAAUUCAUUAAUGAAUGGCAUGGAUUUUG